UUAUACGGAAGCAGGAACUAUAAUUUCAAACACUGGCCUGUAAUUUUCUCAUGCUGUGGAAAUUAUAUAAACCUAUCUAUCCUAGAUUGAUUAAAACAACAAUUGAGGGCCUGAGUAUCAAGAAAGGAAACAGAAGAGAUGAGGAAGAGAGGACUUGCCGUGUUAACCCAAAACUCGGCAAAGAUCAAUCAGAGAAGGGCACAAAAGUAGAUUAUGGUUCAUAGAAGGUAGAUGAUAACAAAAUGGAGAAAGUAAAACAUGCUGCAGCAAAAGAAAAAUUCUAUCAAAUGAGGAAGAUAACAAAAUCCGAGAACUGGCUUCUUCAUUGAUAGAAAAGCAGGCAGUCUCCUAACACAUAAGUCGCAUGCUACUCUUUAUUAUUCUCAAAGAACAAUGAAAGGUGUUUUUUUCAUUGGAGAAGCUUCAAAGGUAUCAGAAAUUUCACAUAGGUACGAGGAACAGUUGCCACAGCCCAUUGGGUUGAGCAAGAAAUCAUAAAAGUUGGUGAUCAAGUUGAGAUUUUAAGUAUAAUGCAACUAUGUCCAUUGAAUUUUUUUUUCUGGAUUUUGGCUUUCUUUUGAUCAAAAUGCUAAUUGAUGAUGAGGUAAGGACAUUCUUUAGAUAAGUUCAAGGUGAAGUAUAUUUAUAAUGAAAAAUGCCUUCCAGAGACAAGCCGCUGAACUUUAAUCUGACUGAUCAUGAUUCUUGGAUUCUUGAUCAUAUUCUAAUGAUAUUUUUUUAAUCAAAUUGAGCCAAUAUGCAUAAGUCCAGUUACUUUGUGAUCAAUAUAGAAAUGUUGUAGCUUUGGAGUUUUUAUGUGAA
Molecule: long non-coding RNA, 822 nt
Organism: Arachis stenosperma
Lineage: Eukaryota; Viridiplantae; Streptophyta; Magnoliopsida; Fabales; Fabaceae
Exons: 4
Source: RefSeq, a predicted model, not a curated record